RNAcentral lists this ribosomal RNA (491 nucleotides) under uncultured bacterium. RNAcentral's name for it is "partial 16S ribosomal RNA". It matches the Rfam family "Bacterial small subunit ribosomal RNA", at positions 28 to 507 of the family's 1533-position model. The record is from RNAcentral.
GAUGAACGCUGGCUACAGGCUUAACACAUGCAAGUCGAGGGGAAACGCCGGGGAAGCUUGCUUCUCCGGGCGUCGACCGGCGCACGGGUGAGUAACGCGUAUCCAACCUGCCUCUGACUGAGGGAUAACCCGUCGAAAGUCGGCCUAAUACCUCAUGGUAUCGUCUGCGGGCAUCCAACGACGAUUAAAGAUUUCAUCGGUCAGGGAUGGGGAUGCGUCUGAUUAGCUUGUUGGCGGGGUAACGGCCCACCAAGGCUACGAUCAGUAGGGGUUCUGAGAGGAAGGGCCCCCACAUUGGAACUGAGACACGGUCCAAACUCCUACGGGAGGCAGCAGUGAGGAAUAUUGGUCAAUGGGCGAGAGCCUGAACCAGCCAAGUAGCGUGCAGGAAGACGGCCCUAUGGGUUGUAAACUGCUUUUAUGCGGGGAUAAAGUGAGGGACGUGGCCCUCAUUGCAGGUACCGCAUGAAUAAGGACCGGCUAAUUCCGUG